AUUACAAAAAAAUAGUACACACUGCUGUGAGGGUGUUUCUGAUACAGCAGCUAUGGGAGUGACGGUGAGGACACGUUCGAGCUGCAUGCAGUGGAGCUGGAGUCCGUGGAGAAGCAGAUCCGAGAUCUACUGGAGAGGCAGGCCGAGCUACGGGAGCGGCAAAUAGUGCUGGAAACAUCCCGGGUUGAUGCUCACCAAUCCGCGAGAGUACAUCAGCUUCAGUCUGGAUCCAGCCUUUUAAGAAGACCUCAGAUGACCAACACCUUUGAAGAGACGGCGCCAACUCCUGCGAGGACUUCAGAUGACGCAAUAUCUGGAUCAACAUGAACAUUCCCAAAUUUCUAUAUAUCCUAAUUAUUGUUAAUAUGUAAUUCAUUAUUUCCAGGAGCUCAUUGCUUCUACCUUCAAUUAAACUGCUAACAGUGAUUGUAAAUUAAAUUACCUAAAUUAUUACAUUAUUAGCUAACUGCAAUUCUCUAAAUUGUAAUGUUGACAUGCAUUCUCUGUAAAGCUGCUUUGAAACGAUAUGUAUUGUGAAAAGCGCUAUACAAAUAAAUGUGAAUUGAAUUAGAACUGAACUAAUAAAAAAACAAUGGCUGAAAGGUUCUUUGGGGAACCCAAAAUGGUUCUUCUAUGGAAUCACGGUUAAAACAUAUUUUUAGAAUGUGUAUUUA
Ctenopharyngodon idella (grass carp) is the source of this 674-nucleotide long non-coding RNA. RefSeq lists it as uncharacterized. The record is from RefSeq and is a predicted model, not a curated record. Lineage: Eukaryota; Metazoa; Chordata; Actinopteri; Cypriniformes; Xenocyprididae. The transcript has 3 exons.